This is a long non-coding RNA of Pogonomyrmex barbatus (red harvester ant), 210 nucleotides long. The record is from RefSeq and is a predicted model, not a curated record. Lineage: Eukaryota; Metazoa; Arthropoda; Insecta; Hymenoptera; Formicidae.
GAGCGACGUAGAGCCACCUUUACGCCACCAAGCCUAAUUACACCGAGGGGACGGCAGGUACCUCGGAGCGGACCGUUAGCGGUUGCGAAAUUAACGCCCUCGCAACCAUUCAGAUCCUCAGCACGGUACCUAACACCUUAGCCUUUAGACGAGCGCCAUUCGAGGGAAACGCCUACCCGAUUGGAGCAAACUGCCCAACGAAGUUUACCU